GGAAAUACAAAAAUAGCCCCUCCUGAAGAUAAAAUCGUUCGGGAACAGCAAUAAUUAUGACUCAUUAACUUCUACCUACUCAAAAAAGUCUGCCUUGAUGGUAGACUGAAAUGAGGCUUUUUAACCCACAAGCAACCUUUUUAUUUUUUUGAGACUGUCUUGCUCUGUCUGUCACCCAGGCUGGAGUACAGUGGCAUGAUCUUGACUCACUGCAGCCUCGACUUCCUGGGCUCAAGUGAUCUCCCAUCUCAGCCUCCUGUGUCGCUCUAACCACAGGCACGUGCCACCAUGCCUGGGUAUUUUUUUGUUGAGCUGGGCUCUCACUUUGUUGCCCAGGCUGGUCUUGAACUCCUCAGCUCAAGCAGUCCUUCCCACUCAGCCUCCCGUAGUGUUGGGAGUACAGGCGUGCACUGCACCUGCUCCAGCCACCUGUAUAAAACCACUGACCUGUGUGUAGAGGACACGCCAGGUGUGUGCUCACUGCACUUCGAGGAUGGGUCAUCACGUGACUUUCCCCAGUUUUCCAUUUCUCUUUUUCUGCUUUUCUCAAAAACCAAUAUAAGACUGGGUGCGGUGGCUCACACCUGUAAUCCCAGCACUUUGGGACACUGCAGCUGGCGGAUCACAAGGUCAGGAGUUUGAGACCAGCCUGGCCAACAUGAUGAAACCUCGUCUCCACUAAAAAUACAAAAGUUAGCUGGGUGUGAUGGUGGGUGCCUGUAAUCCCAGCUACUCAGGAGGCUGAGGCAGGAGAAUUGUUUGAACCCUGGAGGUGGAGGUUGUGGUGAGCCGAGAUCGUGCCAUUGCACUCCAGCCUGGGCAACGGCAAGACUCUGUCUCAAAAACACUUAGAAAAUGCUCUGGAGGUGGCAGAGGGUUGUAGAUAUGUGAGGCCAACCCCCAGGGUGGCCUUGUCCGCCUCCCCAUUGAGAAUGGCUGCCAGGCUUCCCACUAGCCUCUGAAGAUGAUGGUCUGGUGUAAGGAGAGGUGCAGGUGCCUGGUUCUGAGCACCCUGGAAUUUCUGGCCGCACAUCCUCUGGUGCCCUCCCUUCCACCCUGACAAGGAGCUUCCAGCCUGUUUUGAUUUUCUGUUUGUGGACCAGAAACACGUUUUUCCAAAUGAUGAGCAAAUAGGGUGAUUUCCUUUGUAAUGCUGCUCUGGGGCCUCUUCCUCAUCCUGGCAGAAGCAGCCUGGAUACCAUGCGGCAGCCGACACUGUGCCCUUGCUCAGGCGUGCUGUCCCCUCCCUCUCCCUCAGUCUCCUCUCCAUGCCCAAGUCGGUUUCCAGCCGCUGGUCUUCACGGCAUUCCCAGUACAGCCAGGCACCAAGAGGCAAUACCCAAGGCCUGGCUUGGCCACGUUAACGAUUGUACAGACAUAUAUUUUUAAAUAACUUUUAUGUAAUACUUUUCUAGCAUAGUAAGUUCUUGUUAACUGUCACAGAUGUCCUUCUAGAAACACCAGGUGUUACGUCCACUGAGUGUGUCCGUGGUCGUGGUCUGUGCCUUUGUAAACAGAACACUUGAACCACCUCCCGAAUUGGGUCAUCUGCUUCUUGAAAUUGACACUUAAGAGAUGUGCAUCUCUCUAACUUUCAAGGAAACUGCCCCACUAAAUGGCAUGAAAAGGUUUAAAUAAAAUCCGACAGUCCCAAUUCCCUCUAUAACAGUGUUAAAAUAACCUGUCUACCUGGAAAGAUGAAAACACUCUUGCACAACCCAAAAUGCGUCUUUAAUUUGUGAAAAAUUAACAUGGUGAGUCAAACAGUCAUUUUAAAGAGCUGAGCAAAGAAUAUCAUCAGCCAAAUACAGCUCUGCUUUGCAGGGCGCCUUUAAACUCCUUGCCACAAAACCAGUGAGCUCUGCUUGCUGCUGCCACGCUCCUGGAUGAUCACUUAGAUGGGUCAGUGGGAAUAACAGGCAAACAAGACAGUUCUUUACAUCUGUCCAAAUGAUGUCCUUUCUCAGGCCUGGAAGUAUUUCAUUGCUGGAAGAAGGAAACAAGAAUGUCAUUGCAGAUAGAAACAGACUUCUCUCGUUUGCCCUUGACCAACAUGGUACUGAGGGGUUUAUUGUUUCCCAACGCACAUGCGUGCCCUACUGGGGGCCUUACUUUGUAGAACGAGAGCGUCUGAGCUCCCCUAAUGAUUCUGACUAGUUCUCUCCUGGCUGAGGAUACAGGAGUGGGACAUCCACCCUCAGAUCCCUCAGAGCACAGAAACCUUCAGCUUGGCUGUCUCAAGUAUUUCUUCCAGUUUCCCUGUGGGCCUCUGAUGUUUGAGUUUGAUGGCUGCUAGAUCCUUAACGAAAACUCAGUUGGAAACUUCCAACUCGCAGUCCUAGUUUGUUGUUUUCCAUUUCAUUUCACUUACAGCUGAAAGUGGCAUUCAGCUGACUUGCUCGUUUAAACUGUUCACAGAGUCCGAACUGCCAACGUGGCGUCGGAGGCUCCAUCUUUUAAGAGGGCCACAGACUUUCCCACAUGGGAAAACUUGAAAAUUACAUCAACAAUCAACGUCAGAGCCAAAUUAUAUUUGCUUUAUACCAAACUAUGGAGAACUAAAAGUACAUUGUACAAAAUGUUUCUAGUGUUUUGUAUGUGACCUAUUUCAAUAUUUAUAUUACCAGAUCAGUGCUUUCCAGCAAACGAUUCUGUUAAAUAAUGUAGCCAGUCGCUGUUAAUUCUGCAGCAGUGAUAAGCUGAUACUGUGCAACUAAUCCUGUGGACGCCGUCUGCUUAUUUUUGUCUAAACUAAGUUAAUCAUGGUAGCAGCUAUGAUUCUUGCUCAGCAAAGUAAAAUAAAUGUUAAAUAUGGA
This is an RNA transcript of Mandrillus leucophaeus (drill), 2816 nucleotides long. RefSeq lists it as uncharacterized. The transcript is spliced from 2 exons. The record is from RefSeq and is a predicted model, not a curated record. Lineage: Eukaryota; Metazoa; Chordata; Mammalia; Primates; Cercopithecidae.